RNAcentral lists this non-coding RNA (26 nucleotides) under Homo sapiens (human). Lineage: Eukaryota; Metazoa; Chordata; Mammalia; Primates; Hominidae. The record is from RNAcentral.
UUGUCCACCAGCGCACCUCAGGAGUA